GACGAACGCUGGCGGCGUGCUUAACACAUGCAAGUCGAACGGUUAUGCUCCAGCUUGCUGGAGUGGAUCAGUGGCGAACGGGUGAGUAACACGUGAGCAACCUGCCCCGGACUCUGGAAUAAGCGCUGGAAACGGCGUCUAAUACUGGAUACGAAACUGGCCCGCAUGGGCAUGGUUUGGAAAGUUUUUCGGUUUGGGAUGGGCUCGCGGCCUAUCAGCUUGUUGGUGAGGUAAUGGCUCACCAAGGCGACGACGGGUAGCCGGCCUGAGAGGGCGACCGGCCACACUGGGACUGAGACACGGCCCAGACUCCUACGGGAGGCAGCAGUGGGGAAUAUUGCACAAUGGGCGAAAGCCUGAUGCAGAGACGCCGCGUGAGGGAUGAAGGCCUUCGGGUUGUAAACCUCUUUCAGCAGGGAAGAAGCGAAAGUGACGGUACCUGCAGAAGAAGCACCGGCUAACUACGUG
RNAcentral lists this ribosomal RNA (468 nucleotides) under uncultured bacterium. RNAcentral describes it as "partial 16S ribosomal RNA". It matches the Rfam family "Bacterial small subunit ribosomal RNA", at positions 28 to 507 of the family's 1533-position model. The record is from RNAcentral.